Caenorhabditis elegans is the source of this 21-nucleotide non-coding RNA. Lineage: Eukaryota; Metazoa; Nematoda; Chromadorea; Rhabditida; Rhabditidae. The record is from Ensembl.
UAGUAUUACUUCAUGAUUUUC